RNAcentral lists this ribosomal RNA (253 nucleotides) under uncultured bacterium. RNAcentral's name for it is "partial 16S ribosomal RNA". It matches the Rfam family "Bacterial small subunit ribosomal RNA", at positions 524 to 776 of the family's 1533-position model. The record is from RNAcentral.
UACGUAGGUGGCGAGCGUUGUCCGGAUUUAUUGGGUUUAAAGGGUGCGUAGGCGGUCCUAUAAGUCAGUGGUGAAAUAUUGCAGCUCAACUGUGAGGGUGCCAUUGAUACUGUAGGACUUGAGUGAAUUUGAGGUAGGCGGAAUUGACGGUGUAGCGGUGAAAUGCUUAGAUAUCGUCAAGAACACCGAUAGUGAAGACAGCUUACCAAGCUUCAACUGACGCUGAGGCACGAAAGUGUGGGGAUCAAACAGG